Small nucleolar RNA from Myotis lucifugus (little brown bat), 103 nucleotides. Ensembl annotates it as small nucleolar RNA U13. NCBI's taxonomy places the organism in Eukaryota, Metazoa, Chordata, Mammalia, Chiroptera, Vespertilionidae. The record is from Ensembl.
AUCCUUUCAUAGUUCAUAAGCGUAAUGAUUAGGUGUUCUCGCUCUUGUGUGCGAUGUGCCUCCAUCAACCCUUUAACAACUUCAGCCUAUCAACCAUCUAACG